AGCAGUAGCCGCGGUAAUACGAAGGUCCCAAGCGUUGUUCGGAAUCACUGGGCGUAAAGGGAGCGUAGGCGGCGUGGUAAGUCAGAUGUGAAAUCCCGGGGCUCAACCCCGGAACUGCAUUUGAUACUGCCAUGCUUGAGGGUUGGAGAGGUAGCUGGAAUUCUUGGUGUAGCAGUGAAAUGCGUGGAUAUCAAGAGGAACACUCGUGGCGAAGGCGAGCUACUGGACAACAUCUGACGCUGGGGCUCGAAGGCCAGGGUAGCGAAAGGGAUUAGAUACCCCGGUAGUCCCUGUCUCUUAUAC
Molecule: ribosomal RNA, 303 nt
Filed under: uncultured bacterium
Lineage: Bacteria
Description: partial 16S ribosomal RNA
Rfam family: Bacterial small subunit ribosomal RNA
Source: RNAcentral